AUUACCUACGGGGGGCAGCAGUGGGGAAUAUUGCACAAUGGGGGGAACCCUGAUGCAGCGACGCCGCGUGAGUGAAGAAGUCAUUCGUGAUGUAAAGCUCUAUCAGCAGGGAAGAAAAUGACGGUACCUGACUAAGAAGCCCCGGCUAACUACGUGCCAGCAGCCGCGGUAAUACGUAGGUGGCAAGCGUUGUCCGGAUUUACUGGGUGUAAAGGGAGCGUAGGUGGCAGGGCAAGUCAGAUGUGAAAACCCGGGGCUCAACUCCGGGAGUGCAUUUGAAGCUGUCCAGCUAGAGUGCAGGAGAG
This 305-nucleotide ribosomal RNA is filed under the name uncultured bacterium. Its description in RNAcentral is "bacterial SSU rRNA". It matches the Rfam family "Bacterial small subunit ribosomal RNA", at positions 334 to 656 of the family's 1533-position model. The record is from RNAcentral.